Molecule: long non-coding RNA, 546 nt
Organism: Solanum dulcamara
Lineage: Eukaryota; Viridiplantae; Streptophyta; Magnoliopsida; Solanales; Solanaceae
Exons: 2
Source: RefSeq, a predicted model, not a curated record
UCGGGCUAAUUUUAUGGCAGCACGUACUUUCCACUUAAGAGGUGAUUGUAAAUUCUAAAGAGUACAAAGUAUGUGAACUAUCUACUACAUACAAUAUCGUCCUCAUUAAUGCUUGCUAAUUUCAGAUAUUUAUAUGGUUAACAACGAUAUCAUGCUUACUUCAUGUAUGAAGUUAACGCUUGGACCAUCAUUGCUGCAGUAAAAUAUCAAUUGCUUAAUGUCACCUUUUCCCAAGAAGCUCGUUGGCAAGGAAAAUUAUGCCUUAAAACCUUGAUGACGAUACUGAAGUGCACGUUACGUGAGAUGAAGUGCUCAACACAUUUUGAGCCUCGGAGCACCUUAGACAAUACUAUCAUGCCUAUUGCUGUAAAUUUCCGGCAACUUUAUUCCUUUCUUUGUAGGAAGACAAGCGUUGUGAUACAUUAAGCUUUAUUAUGACAAUGGUGAAAUUGUAUAGGGUUAUGGUGGAUACAACAUGAUGUGGCCCAUAGUAUAAAGGUUGACAACAAUAGACACAUAUAUACCCUUUGUGUUGUUUUCAUCUCA